AGAAUCAACGCUGGCGGCGUGCCUAACACAUGCAAGUCGAACGCGAAAGGGACUUCGGUCCUGAGUAGAGUGGCGAACGGGUGAGUAACGCGUGGGUGACCUACCCUCGAGUGGGGGAUAACGUUCCGAAAGGGACGCUAAUACCGCAUGACAUUCCGGGUUUGAAGACCUGGAAAUCAAAGCCGGGGACCGCAAGGCCUGGCGCUAGAGGAGGGGCCCGCGUCUGAUUAGCUAGUUGGCGGGGUAACGCCCACCAAGGCGACGAUCA
RNAcentral lists this ribosomal RNA (268 nucleotides) under uncultured soil bacterium. RNAcentral describes it as "partial 16S ribosomal RNA". It matches the Rfam family "Bacterial small subunit ribosomal RNA", at positions 26 to 282 of the family's 1533-position model. The record is from RNAcentral.